This 443-nucleotide ribosomal RNA is filed under the name uncultured bacterium. RNAcentral's name for it is "partial 16S ribosomal RNA". It matches the Rfam family "Bacterial small subunit ribosomal RNA", at positions 338 to 795 of the family's 1533-position model. The record is from RNAcentral.
CCUACGGGUGGCAGCAGUGGGGAAUCUUGGGCAAUGGAGGCAACUCUGACCCAGCAAUGCCGCGUGAGUGAUGAAGGUAAUUUUAUUGUAAAGCUCUUUUCUUUGGAACGAAUAAAUGACGGUACCACAGGAAUAAGCCCCGGCUAACUACGUGCCAGCAGCCGCGGUAAUACGUUGGGGGCAAGCGGUGUUCGGGAUGACUGGGCGGAAAGGGGGGGGAGGUGGUUUGAUAAGUUAGAUGUGUAAUACCCAGGGCUUAACUCGGGUGGUGCAUCUAAACCUGUUAGACUUGAGUACUGGAGAGGAGAGUGGAAUUCCAAGUGUAGCGGUGGAAUGCGUAGAUAUUAGGAGGAACAUCAGUGGCGAAGGCGACUAUCUGGACAGCAACUGACACUGAGGCACGAAAGCGUGGGGAGCAAACAGGAUUAGAUACCCGAGUAGUC